UACGUAGGGUGCAAGCGUUGUCCGGAAUUAUUGGGCGUAAAGAGCUCGUAGGCGGUUUGUCGCGUCUGCUGUGAAAACGCGAGGCUCAACCUCGCGCCUGCAGUGGGUACGGGCAGACUAGAGUGCGGUAGGGGAGAUUGGAAUUCCUGGUGUAGCGGUGGAAUGCGCAGAUAUCAGGAGGAACACCGAUGGCGAAGGCAGAUCUCUGGGCCGUAACUGACGCUGAGGAGCGAAAGCCAGGGGAGCAAACGGG
RNAcentral lists this ribosomal RNA (253 nucleotides) under uncultured bacterium. Its description in RNAcentral is "partial 16S ribosomal RNA". It matches the Rfam family "Bacterial small subunit ribosomal RNA", at positions 524 to 776 of the family's 1533-position model. The record is from RNAcentral.